AUCUUUGCGUUUGGUGCAAUGACGCAGCUAGUGAGGUAAUAACCGAGCCGCGUCUAUUACUGGUUGAAAACUAUAUCCAAACCCCCUCUUAGGUCUGGGUUCAUUCUUGGCCUUCAAGAAUUUUUAGAAGGACUCCCAUCGGGGUAAAGCC
Hibiscus syriacus is the source of this 151-nucleotide small nuclear RNA. RefSeq annotates it as U4 spliceosomal RNA. The transcript has a single exon. Lineage: Eukaryota; Viridiplantae; Streptophyta; Magnoliopsida; Malvales; Malvaceae. The record is from RefSeq and is a predicted model, not a curated record.